GCGCUUUUGGAGCGGCCGAUGUCUGAUUAGCUAGUUGGUGAGGUAAAGGCUUACCAAGGCUUCGAUCAGUAGCUGGUCUGAGAGGACGACCAGCCACACUGGGACUGAGACACGGCCCAGACUCCUACGGGAGGCAGCAGUGGGGAAUUUUGGACAAUGGGGGAAACCCUGAUCCAGCCAUGCCGCGUGAGUGAAGAAGGCCUUCGGGUUGUAAAGCUCUUUCAGCCGGAACGAAACGGUCACGGCUAAUAUCCGUGACAACUGACGGUACCGGAAGAAGAAGCACCGGCUAACUACGUGCCAGCAGCCGCGGUAAUACGUAGGGUGCAAGCGUUAAUCGGAAUUACUGGGCGUAAAGCGUGCGCAGGCGGUUUUGUAAGUCAGAUGUGAAAUCC
RNAcentral lists this ribosomal RNA (395 nucleotides) under uncultured ammonia-oxidizing bacterium. RNAcentral's name for it is "bacterial SSU rRNA". It matches the Rfam family "Bacterial small subunit ribosomal RNA", at positions 215 to 602 of the family's 1533-position model. The record is from RNAcentral.